GAAAGAAGCGGUUUACGGAAGAGCAGAUCAAGUCGUUAGAGUCCAUGUUCGGGACGGAGACGAAGCUGGACCCGAGGAAGAAGCAGCAGUUGGCGCGCGAGCUGGGGAUGCACCCGCGGCAGGUUGCUAUCUGGUUUCAGAAUAAACGGGCACGAUGGAAGUCCAAACAGCUCGAGAAGGAGUACAGUGUCCUGAGGGCUGACUACGAUG
RNAcentral lists this unclassified non-coding RNA (210 nucleotides) under Hevea brasiliensis (rubber tree). Lineage: Eukaryota; Viridiplantae; Streptophyta; Magnoliopsida; Malpighiales; Euphorbiaceae. The record is from RNAcentral.